UCUUGGGAUAGGAUUUUGGUGUGAUAUAAAUAUAUUUAAAAAAAAACCAAGUGUUUAAAAUUUUUAAUGAUAAUGAUAAUUUAAUGAUGUUUCCAACAUAUGCUACGUUUGUUAUAGAUAGCCCUUUGUUCGUUCACUUCGUUAUUUGACGACGAUCUCCUUCAUCUUUAGAGGAGACUGGAGAGACUUGAUUUCAGCGUUUAGUUAAAAAAAAAGUCAAACUAAAGUUUAUUAUCUAUUUCAACUAUAACAUUCAAUGCCUCGAUCAGUUAGGGACAAUUACAACCUAAUUAUUGCAUUAUAUACUUUGAAAACUGGGUCAUUAGUAUGAGAUGUUGUGAUCGUUUGAAAAAGUUACUAGUGCUAGAAAAACGUGGUCGACAUUCAAUACAUGUUUGUUUUAACCAGCAGUUUUGUUUUGGCGCUUCCUCUUGGUUUGUUUGUGUGCUGCUGUGAAUAACAUUUUCGAGCUCAAUGCAUUCCAUCCACGUUCGUCGGUUAAGCAUAUAGCCGCGUUAUGCCAUUAUGCCUUUUUAAAACUUCAACCAAUCAUCAGUUCGCCGAACACGUUGCAAUUCAUGGAGAGUCCUUCGGUCUGAGGCAGCUCGGAAAUACUAUCAGUAAGGAUUACAGUAGGGGGAGAGGGGGUAAUAUGCACCCCCGGGGCAAAAUGCACCCUCUGCUUUUCUCGGUAUUUGGAAGAAUUUUCCGGGAAAAAAUCAUAGAAAUUGGAAGCUUAACAUUGCUAAACCAUGCUGGAAAAAUUUGAGCAUCGUAGUAUAAAAACAGCUUAAGUAAUUUGCAAAACUUUAAAAUGUCGUGUUUUCAUCUAAUUUUCAUUGAACUUUCAUUAUGAUUUUUGGACAAUUUAAAAAGCAUUUAUUGAUAUUGUAAGUGUUGAGGUAUAUAGUUUUUGCCAUAAUCUUCAUUAUUCUGUAGAUAGACGAGUCCAAAAACAUCAAAAAAUGCAUUUUUAAUACAAUUUUCUGCAAAAAGCGUGGUCGGGGCAAAAUGCACCGCUGUGAAGCUCCUUUGUAAAAACAGCGGUGUCAUCUAGUGGUGACUAGUGAAAACUGCUUUUACCCGGUGCAUUUUGCCCCAUGUUGUGGUGCAUUUUGCCCCGUUGUUGUAGUGCAUUUUGCCCCAAUGUUGCGGUGCAUAUUGCCCCGCAUGCUUAAUUGAAAUGAAUCAAAAAUGUUUUUAGAAAUUUUAUAUUUUCGAACAAUUUUGAGGUUUUUUAAGAUUUUUUUCACAUGGAUGACGAAGAAUGAUAGUUGUUUUAGAACAUCGAACAAAUUUCUUCCACAGUAAUGCUGUAAUGGUUGAGAAAUGACAGUUUUCCCUUAGGGGGUGCAUAUUACCCCCUCUCCCCCUACAGUCAUGCCUCGGUUUUGCACUGCCCCGGUUUUGCACCGUUCAGCUGCCUCGGUUAAGCACGGCCCAGUGCUUAACUGAAGCACAGAGCUUAUGGGAUUUUGGCUAUAUGGGAGACAUUGGCUUUAAUCGUAUGAAAAAUCAUGCAAACAUAAAAAAAUUAUAGUGUUUUGGAAUCGGGAUGAUGUCAGUUAUCCAUUUAAAUUAUUAUUUCAUGAAAAUUUUCACAAAAAUACGUAUUUUUCCUGUAUUUCGAAAAUGCAUUUUUUUUCUCUACAGAAUCCAAAAAUAUAUUGUUAUUGCAAUAUGGUAAAUGAUCAGGUUUUUUUUUAUACAUUUUGGAUGUAAUAACAACAUUUUUAGAAAAUACUUCAAUUUUCACAAAACUACGUAUUUUCGAAAAAAAUACUCAAAAUUUCAAUUUUUAACAAUAUGGGUAUCAAACGAUCGGGAUUUUUUCAUACAUUUCGAAUGUAUUAACAACAUUUCUAGAAAAUACUCAAAAUUUUCACAAAACUACGUAUUUUCGAAAAAAAAUACUCAAAAUUUCAAUUUUUACAAUAUGGGUAUCAAACGAUCGGGAUUUGUUCAUACAUUUCGAAUGUAAUAACAACAUUUUUUGAAAAUACUCAUAAUUUUCACAAAACUACGUACUUUCGAAAAAAAUACUCAAAAUUUCCGUUUUUACAAUGUGGGUAUCAAACGAUUGGGAUUUUUAAUACAUUUCGAAUGUAAUCAUUUUUUUGAAAAUUCUCAAAAUUUUCACAAAACUUCGUAUUUUCAAAAAAAAAAAUCAGUUAUUGCAGUUAAUAUUAUAUUAUUAUAUUACUAUCGUUUGGUACCCGUAUUGUAAAAAUUUAAAUUUUGAGUAUUUUUUUUUCGAAAAUACGUAGUUUUGUGAAAAUUUUGAGUAUUUUCUGAAAAUGUUGUUAUUACAUUCGAAAUGUAUGAAAAAAUCCCGAUCGUUUGAUACCCAUAUUGUAAAAAUUGAAAUUUUGAGUAUUUUUUUUCGAAAAUACGUAGUUUUGUGAAAAUAUUGGGUAUUUUCAAAAAAUGUUGUUAUUACAUUCGAAAUGUAUGAAAAAAUCCCGAUCGUUUGAUACCCAUAUUGUAAAAUUAAAUUUUUAGUAUUUUUUCGAAAAAAACGUAGUUUUGUGAAAAUUUGGAGUAUUUUCUAAAAAUGUUAUUAUUACAUCCAAAAUGUAUGAAAAAAACUUGAUCAUUUGAUACCCAUAUUGCAAAAACAAUAUAUUUUUGGUUACCUUAGAGAAAAAGUAUGCAUUUUCGAAAUACAGGAAAAAUACGUAUUUUUGUGAAAAUUUUCAUGAAAUAAUAAUUUUAAUGGAUAGCUGACAUCAUCCCAAUUCCAAAAAAACACUAUAAUUUUUUGAUGUUUGCAUGAUUAUUCAUAGAAUUAUAGCCAAUGUCUCCCAUAUAGCCAAAAUCCCAUAAGCUCUGUGCCUCGGUUAUGCACGCCUCGGUUUUGCAUCCCCCAUAUGCGGUGCUAAACCGAGGCACGACUGUACCGUCAUCAGGGGUGACAUUGGCAGCAUUUUUGUAUGACUCAAUCUCACCCCCCAGACCCAAUGUCACCCCUGAUGACGGUAGGCCAAAGUUAAUUAUUAAUUUAAUAUCAAAGUCACUUUUAAACAGUAUAGAAAUAGCACUGCCCAUGAUUGAAAACUCGGCUAUUAUGCCAAAUCAACUAUUACGAGAAAAACGCGUUUUAGUGUUUGUCACCAAAUCUCCAUCAAGGCAAUUUCCCAUAAGGCUCCCGGUCGGAAAUGGCGGACGCAUUUCUGGCGUUCGUCUGGGGGCUUGCGCCAGCCAUCUGGCAGAAUUUCCCCCAGAUUUACCCCAGAUUUCUGCCAUUAUUUCUGGCGAAUAUGACACAAACCGGUCGUGCUCGGUUCAACCGAUUGAACGUGUUUAUUUUGUUGUCAGACAGCUGGCAGAAAUUUUGCCCGAUUUUCGCCAGAUUCGUCUGGCGUUACGCAAAACUUGGCUACACGCAAAACGGACAUUAGGUAUAAAUUCCUAUUUUUCAGUAUUUUUUGAACUUAUGUUCUAGCUUGUCAAAUUAUAACUAAAAAAUAGUAUUUUUUUCUUCCUAAAAUUUAGUAUUUUUUUAGAACACUGAAGUACUUCUUCAAAAUUCCGAAAUUUUAGGAUUUUUUUAGUUCAAGAAUUGUGAUUCACGAAUUGACAUGUCAAUGUCAAAAUAAUUUCGCGGCUGUAAGUUUGUGUUCCAUGGUGCUGCUGUUAAUUUUCAAAUUGUGGGAAGUGGCAAGGUAAGUUUUGAUCGGGAAUGCAUUUUGAGUUGGCCGACGAAACUUUCCACGUGGCCACCCGGAUCCGGUGAGGCCCCGGCUGGGUCGGCAGAAACGCAAAGCCGUACCCGACCGGCCAAAAGUUGUCGAACUAGUUCAAACAAGUCGAACCGCGGCAGGCCAGAUGCAAAUCGAGCGGAGUUCCAAAGUGGGACCGCCGAGGAUCGACGCGGGCCGUGUUGGCGACACUCUGUCCCUCCCCUGUUUGAAAAAUGUCGCACGUCGUACGAGUUGUCGCACGGUUGUGAUUUUACCGUUUUGAUAUCGAUUGGUCGAAAGGACGACAAACGGACGACAAACACUCGACAUGCUCGACAUGGUUUUUUCAAUCGAUUUACCUUCAAUUCGACGUCGAUUAUCGUCGACGCAAACAGUUUGACAGUUCUCUUCUGUUGAUCUUGUUCGGACUUGAUUGCAACCGAGUCGAACCAGUUGUUGUUGCUUUUAGGCUUUUGGAGGAUUUUGGACAGUUAAUAGGUAAGUUGUUUACUAGGUUCAAUUACUUUUUCUGCCGGAAAGUUCCGGCCGGAGUGGGCGAGUGACCGAAUCAAAGUGUCUUGUAUUCCAGAUUUCGGUCUUCGUGGCGGAGGAGGAGGAGGACGGGAAAUAUGGUUUACUCGGCGGGCCAUUCCGGAAGACGGGACGGGAAGGAACCAGUUUGCGAUAUUGGAAGCGGUUGGUGUUUGGUGUUUUACCGUCCGCGGGAUGUUGCGACGCAUACCUAAUGGAACUGGCAACAAACAUUUUCCAAUCUGAUUCUGCCGGAAACCGGAAUGCGUUCCCGUGUGGUCACUCCUAGAAUCCACGGAAGCAGCCCCGUUUUUUCGUACUCGUACUCCACAAAACCCACGUUUCCUCGUACUCCGGUAAACAUUAAUCCGUCGGAGAUCCAAGAUCGUCGCCAAGGCGUCGCAUCCGGGUUUUGAUCAGCUCGUCGAGAAACAAAAGUCCAACACGACCAAGAUGCUGCCACGGCCGCCUCAGAAGAACACCAACACCCAAGCCGGAAGCUGCGGUCAAGGCAAAUCCAGAAGGAAGCCAAGUUGGGGAAGAAUCGGCGAUACGCAAGUGAAAUUAAGUGUACAAUAAAUAUGUUUGUGAAAUUUUGACAGCUGGAAUAAAAAAAAAAUCAAUAAAAACAAAACAACAGUUUUUUCAACUGCAACAUAACCCAAAAAUCCGAAAUGACAGCACACGACAAUAGCACGACAUUCUAAAUAACAAAACCGUGCGACGUUGGUCGAAUGUUGUACGACAAUGUCGUACAAUUUCGAUCAUCGAUCGCACGACAAAUACGACAUUUUGGUGCAAAAACGUAUGACAUUCGUGCGAAAGUCGCACGACAUUGUCGAGCGACGUCGUACGAUUGCACAGACGACAAACGACGGACGUCCGACGGACUUUUCAGUCAGGGACACUGCGAUCGCGACAAUGUCGUGCGACUUUCGCACGAAUGUCAUACGUUUUUGCACCAAAAUGUCGUAUUUGUCGUGCGAUCGAUGAUCGAAAUUAGGGCGUCCAAUUUUCCCGGGUUUUAAAUUUCCCGGGAAACGGGAAAAAUAUUUUUGAAAUCCCGGGAAUUCCUGGGAUCCCGGGAAAUUUUUAAAGCUGUCAUAAAAUCUAUGUUUUCAUAAUAUUUGAUAUGUUUUCAAGCUUAAAAUCAUAGAAUAAGCUGAAUAAUAUUAAUUGGUGACAAUCUACACUUCAAUCUAAACAAAGACGACAGUUUUUAAAUAGCUUAAAAGAAAUUUAAAAUUGAUUUUGUUGUUCUUUGUUGUGCUAUGGAUUUAAAAUAAACUACCAUUUUGAAUUCAAAUGUGACUCAAAUUAAAUAAGUGUUUUAAAAGAAUACAUACCAAUUAUAUAUGUGUUCUAUAUGACAUGCCUAUAAAAGCUCGAUUUUUUUGAAAAUGUCUAAAAAACAAAAGCGUUUACAAAUAAAAUGAUUCCAGCCAAUAUUUAAUUUUAAAUAUGUUUUGAAUUUCUUGUUUUAAAUAAAACAUAUUUUACAAAUUAUUUUUAUGUUACCACCGCCAACUGUUGAAAAUCGGGACUAAAGUCUGGAUAGGUACAGAAGAUUUCAGAGGAAUAUAAUUGGAAAUUGUAUACUAGGAAUUGUAAUGUUCUGUUUCUGUUUUGACCGAAGUCAUUCAAAACAUUAUGCAAACAAAUGGCUCGAAUAGCUAAUUCGUUACAUUUGUCUUGAUUUGCCCCAGAUGCCGGUAUUUGAUGAAAAAUAGUUUUAUCUGAUUUAUUUUAAUUCAAAA
Long non-coding RNA from Culex pipiens pallens (northern house mosquito), 5971 nucleotides. RefSeq lists it as uncharacterized. The record is from RefSeq and is a predicted model, not a curated record. NCBI's taxonomy places the organism in Eukaryota, Metazoa, Arthropoda, Insecta, Diptera, Culicidae. The transcript has 2 exons.